CCAAUAGCGUAUAUUAAAGUUGUUGCAGUUAAAAAGCUCGUAGUUGAACUUCGGGGUUUACUCAUUGGUCAGGCUUAAUUGUCUGUACUGGUGAGAUGAAUCUCUACCUUCUGAGGAACUUUCAUGCCAUUUAUUUGGUGUGAUUGGAAAUCAGGACUGUUACUUUGAAAAAAUUAGAGUGUUUAAAGCAGGCUAACGUCUGAAUACAUUAGCAUGGAAUAAUGAAAUAGGACGGACUGAUUCUAUUUCGUUGGUUUCUAGGAUCACCGUAAUGAUUAAUAGGGAUAGUUGGGGGCAUUAGUAUUCAAUUGUCAGAGGUGAAAUUCUUGGAUUUAUUGAAGACUAACUACUGCGAAAGCAUUUGCCAAGGAUGUUUUCAUUAAUCAAGAACGAAAGUUAGGGGAUCGAAGACGAUCGGAUACCGUCGUAGUCUUAACCAUAAACUAUGCCGACUAGGGAUCGGACGAAGUUAAUUUUAUAAUGACGCGUUCGGCACCUUACG
RNAcentral lists this ribosomal RNA (502 nucleotides) under uncultured Glomeromycotina. RNAcentral's name for it is "partial small subunit ribosomal RNA". It matches the Rfam family "Eukaryotic small subunit ribosomal RNA", at positions 591 to 1092 of the family's 1831-position model. Lineage: Eukaryota; Fungi; Glomeromycota. The record is from RNAcentral.